RNAcentral lists this ribosomal RNA (1960 nucleotides) under pig gut metagenome. RNAcentral's name for it is "bacterial LSU rRNA". It matches the Rfam family "Bacterial large subunit ribosomal RNA", at positions 3 to 1980 of the family's 2925-position model. The record is from RNAcentral.
UCAAGCUACUAAGGGCAUACGGCGGAUGCCUAGGCGCCAUCAGCCGAUGAAGGACGCGGUAAGCUGCGAAAAGCUACGGGGAACUGCAAGCAAGUAUUGAUCCGUAGAUGUCCGAAUGGGGAAACCCACCUGCCGUCAUGGGCAGGUAUCCGAAAGGAAGGGAACCCGGGGAACUGAAACAUCUAAGUACCCGGAGGAAGAGAAAUCAAACGAGAUGCCCACAGUAGCGGCGAGCGAAGAGGGCAGAGGGCAAACCGGUGAGCUACGGCUCGCCGGGGUUGAGGACUGCAUUUAGUCUCAAUGGUCUAUCCGAACUACCUGGAAAGGUAGGCAAUACAGUGUAAAAGCCACGUAGGUUAAAGACCGGAGAGAUGAGCAGUAUCCAGAGUACCACGAGGCACGAGGAAUCUUGUGGGAAGCCGGGGGGACCACCCUCCAACCCUAAACACUGAAUGGCGACCGAUAGCGCAUAGUACCGUGAGGGAAAGGUGAAAAGAACCCCGGGAGGGGAGUGAAAGAGAACCUGAAACCGUAUGUCUACAAGCAGUCGGAGCGAAAGCGACGGCGUGCCUAUUGAAGAAUGAACCAACGAGUUACGUGCACUAGCGAGGUUAAGUGGAAGACACGGAGCCGAAGCGAAAGCGAGUCUUAAUAGGGCGGAUAGUUAGUGUACGUAGACCCGAAACCGCAGUGAUCUACCCAUGUCCAGGUUGAAGCGCAGGUAAAAUUGCGUGGAGGACCGAACCUGUGAGCGUUGAAAAGCUUUAGGAUGAGAUGUGGGUAGAGGUGAAAUUCCAAUCGAACGCGGAGAUAGCUGGUUCUCCCCGAAAUAGCUUUAGGGCUAGCCUCAAGUAGUAAGUAUAGGCGGUAGAGCACUGAUCGGGCUAGGGGCCAUAAAGGUUACCGAACCCUGUCAAACUCCGAAUGGUUAUACUGUAGAGCUUGGGAGUCAGACUACGAGUGAUAAGAUCCGUGGUCAAAAGGGAAACAGCCCAGACCACCAGCUAAGGUCCCCAAUGUCGUACUAAGUGGAAAAGGAUGUGGGGUCUCUAAAACAACCAGGAUGUUGGCUUAGAAGCAGCCACCAUUUAAAGAGUGCGUAAUAGCUCACUGGUCGAGAGACCCUGCGCCGAAGAUUACCGGGGCUAAAGUACGAAACCGAAGCUGUGGCUACGACAUAUGUCGUGGGGUAGGGGAGCGUUCUGUGAGGGCUGAAGUCGUUCUGUAAGGAACGGUGGACUUCACAGAAGUGAGAAUGUUGGUAUGAGUAGCGAAAAGAAUGGUGAGAAUCCAUUCCACCGAAAGCAUAAGGAUUCCUGGGCAACGAUCGUCGUCCCAGGGUAAGUCGGGACCUAAUCCGAGGCAUGGAGCGUAGGAGAUGGACAACUGGCAGAUAUUCCAGUACCGGUAAUGAUUGUUUGAGCGAUGGAGUGACACAGGAGGGCAGGCAGGCAGGAGAUUGGUUGUUCCUGUACAAGCGUGUAGGAUGGGACGCAGGCAAAUCCGCGUCCUGUGAGUCUGAGGCGUGAUGUGGAGGUUCCGGAAACGGAACCGAAGCUGCUGACCCCACACUGUCGAGAAAAGCUUCUAGUUAGAGAAUUACCGCCCGUACCGUAAACCGACACAGGUAUGCGGGGAGAGAAUCCUAAGGUGCGCGGGAGAACCCUCGUUAAGGAACUCGGCAAAAUGUACCCGUAACUUCGGGAUAAGGGUAGCCGCUGUUGUGAAGUCUGAACAGACGGAGCAUGAGGCGGUCGCAGAGAAGAGGCCCAAGCGACUGUUUACCACAAACACAGGUGCCUGCUAAAGAGAAAUCUGACGUAUAGGUGCUGACACCUGCCCAGUGCCGGAAGGUUAAGGAAGGAUGUCCGGAGCAAUCCAAAGCAUUCGACCGAAGCCCCGGUGAACGGCGGCCGUAACUAUAACGGUCCUAAGGUAGCGAAAUUCCUUGUCGGGUAAG